GACGAACGCUGGCGGCGUGCCUAAUACAUGCAAGUCGAGCGAAGUUUUUCUGGUGCUUGCACCGGAAAAACUUAGCGGCGAACGGGUGAGUAACACGUAAAGAACCUGCCUCAUAGACUGGGACAACUAUUGGAAACGAUAGCUAAUACCGGAUAACAGCAUUAACUGCAUGGUUGAUGUUUAAAAGUUGGUUUUGCUAACACUAUGAGAUGGCUUUGCGGUGCAUUAGCUAGUUGGUGGGGUAAAGGCCUACCAAGGCGACGAUGCAUAGCCGACCUGAGAGGGUGAUCGGCCACACUGGAACUGAGACACGGCCCAGACUCCUACGGGAGGCAGCAGUAGGGAAUCUUCCGCAAUGGGCGAAAGCCUGACGGAGCAACGCCGCGUGAGUGAAGAAGGAUUUCGGUUCGUAAAGCUCUGUUGUUAGGGAAGAAUGAUUGUGUAGUAACUAUACACAGUAGAGACGGUACCUAACCAGAAAGCCACGGCUAACUACGUG
This 499-nucleotide ribosomal RNA is filed under the name uncultured bacterium. RNAcentral's name for it is "partial 16S ribosomal RNA". It matches the Rfam family "Bacterial small subunit ribosomal RNA", at positions 28 to 507 of the family's 1533-position model. The record is from RNAcentral.